GACGGAAGGUGCAAGCGUUGUUCGGACUUAUUGGGCGUAACGCGCGUGUAGGCGGCUUGGCAAGUCGGGUGUGAAAGCCCUCAGCUUAACUGAGGAAGUGCGCCCGAAACUGCUUUGCUUGAGUACCGGAGAGGAUGGCGGAAUGCCCCAAGUAGAGGUGAAAUUCGUAGAUAUGGGGCGGAACACCGGUGGCGAAGGCGGCCAUCUGGACGGAUACUGACGCUGAGACGCGAAAGCGUGGGUAGCAAACAGG
Molecule: ribosomal RNA, 253 nt
Filed under: uncultured bacterium
Lineage: Bacteria
Description: partial 16S ribosomal RNA
Rfam family: Bacterial small subunit ribosomal RNA
Source: RNAcentral